GUGGGGAAUAUUGGACAAUGGGCGAAAGCCUGAUCCAGCCAUGCCGCGUGUGUGAAGAAGGUCUUCGGAUUGUAAAGCACUUUAAGUUGGGAGGAAGGGUAGUAACCUAAUACGUUGCUACUUUGACGUUACCGACAGAAUAAGCACCGGCUAACUUCGUGCCAGCAGCCGCGGUAAUACGAAGGGUGCAAGCGUUAAUCGGAAUUACUGGGCGUAAAGCGCGCGUAGGUGGUUCAGUAAGUUGGAAGUGAAAUCCCCGGGCUCAACCUGGGAACUGCUUUCAAAACUGCUGAGCUAGAGUACGGUAGAGGGUGGUGGAAUUUCCUGUGUAGCGGUGAAAUGCGUAGAUAUAGGAAGGAACACCAGUGGCGAAGGCGACCACCUGGACUGAUACUGACACUGAGAUGCGAAAGCGUGGGGAGCAAACAGGAUUAGAAACCCUGGUAGUCC
Molecule: ribosomal RNA, 450 nt
Filed under: uncultured bacterium
Lineage: Bacteria
Description: partial 16S ribosomal RNA
Rfam family: Bacterial small subunit ribosomal RNA
Source: RNAcentral